RNAcentral lists this ribosomal RNA (776 nucleotides) under uncultured Neocallimastigales. Its description in RNAcentral is "partial large subunit ribosomal RNA". It matches the Rfam family "Eukaryotic large subunit ribosomal RNA", at positions 23 to 631 of the family's 3401-position model. The record is from RNAcentral. Lineage: Eukaryota; Fungi; Neocallimastigomycota; Neocallimastigomycetes; Neocallimastigales.
GACACGCAUGACACACUGCAUAUCAAUAAGCGGAGGAAAAGAAACUAACUAGGAUUCCCUCAGUAACGGCGAGUGAAGCGGGAAGAGCUCAAAUUUGAAAUCUUCAAGGUUCUACCUUGACGAAUUGUAGUUUAAAGAAGUGUUUUCUGUUGGAGUUUUGGUAAAAGUUCUUUGGAAUAGGACAUCAUAGAGGGUGAGAAUCCCGUAUUUGACCAUUAUUUCCAACUUUGUGAUACACUUUCAAAGAGUCGGAUUGUUUGGGAAUGCAGUCCAAAAUGGGUGGUAAAUUUCAUCUAAAGCUAAAUACUGGCGAGAGACCGAUAGCGAACAAGUACCGUGAGGGAAAGAUGAAAAGAACUUUGAAAAGAGAGUUAAACAGUACGUGAAAUUGUCAAAAGGGAAGCGUUUGACACCAGUGUUGUUUUCUCGAAAAUCAAUUAAAAAUGAUGGGAUGUUGUGUUGUAUUGACUUUAUCAGCUUUCUGCACUUUUUUCUUGUCUUUUUUAAUGCACUUUUCGGUUAACAAGUCAACAUCAAUUUCUUUUGUUGUAAAAGAGUCAUGAGGAAGGUGGCUUUCAUUUCGGAGAAAGUGUUUAUAGCCUUGUGCCUCUGCAAUCGGAGAGAUUGAGGUCUGCAGCGUAGAUCCUUCGGGGUUAGAUACAUUUGUGCUAAGUUAUAGCUUUUCAUAGACAACUUGUUGACUAUGUUUAGUCUUGUAGCUUACUCGCAGACGCUAUUUUACCUACGCUUAGGAUGUUGAAGACUCUACAGAGAUA